GGCCGGUUAGCUCAGUCGGUUAGAGCGUGAUGCUGAUAACACCAAGGUCGCGGGUUCGAUCCCUGUUCGGUCU
Apaloderma vittatum (bar-tailed trogon) is the source of this 73-nucleotide transfer RNA. It matches the Rfam family "tRNA". From Rfam's summary of the family: Transfer RNA (tRNA) molecules are approximately 80 nucleotides in length. Lineage: Eukaryota; Metazoa; Chordata; Aves; Trogoniformes; Trogonidae. The record is from Rfam.